CUUCCAGUACACUACGACUACGAGUACAGUAGAGGGCAGACCGAUGGUGGAGUCUCCAGCGACCAGCAACACUUUCUCGAAUCAGUCCUGUUUUCGGUUUCCUUCCCGUCAAUUAAAUUGGUAGCCAGAGAGAUCAGAGAAGAGCAAACCCUUCGUGAGUUCUUCUCCCAAUUCCUUCCCGUUAUUUACAUGUUUUUUUUUUUUUUUUUUUUUUUUUUUUUUACAUUAUUUACAUUUUUUUCCCCUCAAUUCCUUUCCCCAAAUCGCCAUUCACCCAUUAUUUACAUAGUUUUUUCCUAGCAUGUUUAUUGUUUAAUUAUUGGUUUUGUUUUGUUUUUUUUUUCCUUUUUUUUUGUUUUUUGUUUUUUUUUUUGAGUAGUUUUUUAUGCUCUAUGUUUGAUUUGUAUUGAUUUUUAGGGUUUUGAAUUGCUUCAACUUCGAUUCGAGGCUUACUUAUUGUUUGGGGAUUUUGUUACAAAUUAUUGAAAGUUUUGUAAUGCCAAAGUGAAUAAGUGACCCGGUGAUUAUUAAUUAUUAUCAACUGAUUCAACUCAAAUGACUUUUGGCAGUGGAAUGACUUGAUUAUUGAAAGUUUUUGUAAUGCCAAAGUGAAUAAGAUGGAAAAUCUUUUUGUAUGACAGUAUGAGCUUGAACUUCUUGAAUUUGGCAGUGGAAUGACUACAUGUUAUUUAUUAUAAGAGUCUAUCUAUUUAAUGUCUUUGAGGAUUUUUAUCAAAAUGGGGUGGCCAAUGCUGGAACUAAUUCUACUUGCUUGACUUUUUUCUUUGUUGUCUAUCAUUUGAUUCAUUUCUUUCGGAUGAGUUUCGAUGGUUGAUCAUAUCUUGA
RNAcentral lists this long non-coding RNA (846 nucleotides) under Olea europaea subsp. europaea. Lineage: Eukaryota; Viridiplantae; Streptophyta; Magnoliopsida; Lamiales; Oleaceae. The record is from RNAcentral.